Molecule: long non-coding RNA, 1651 nt
Organism: Glycine soja
Lineage: Eukaryota; Viridiplantae; Streptophyta; Magnoliopsida; Fabales; Fabaceae
Exons: 9
Source: RefSeq, a predicted model, not a curated record
UCUUCUCCAGCGUUUCUGAUCAUUUCCCUACCAACUUCAAACCUGCUUCCUUCAUUUGUGUCAUUUCCCCACCAAUUUGUUUCCUCUGUUUCCAUUCUUUCUUCUUCAUUUUGGUGUCUUCUUCAGUUCCACUUUUUUCUUUUGUUUUCGGUUGAGUUUUAGAGCUGCUGAGGGCUUCCAUCUUCAUUCUAUUCUUUGCGAUUUUGGUUUGGGUUCUUUUUCUUUGAUUGGUCUGAUUUUUUGUGGUUUUAUUUUUGGGACAUGUUACAGUAACAACGACGGCUUUGGCAAAGAAGUUGUUGGAGAAGUUAAGAAGAAGAUAGAGGCUCUUCAAACUAUUGGAGAUUCUCUGUAACUUCAAUCCAAGCAAGUUGACACUAUCCAACAGAUCAAAGAUUUCUAUAAGAUCUCUAGAAUCAAGUGACAAGGAGAUUCAUGCAUGCGAAACAAAUCCAAAAAGAAACACAAACAAGAUACAUAGAGAGUAUGGUUCAGGGUCAUGCUACUCUUACAAAGCAAUGAGUAAUCCCUUUGCAACGUGCUCACCAAGUUUUUGAGAAUAUCACGCAGUGAAAGAUCCCCGAAACCCAAAUUCACGCAGUGUGCCUUGCAUGCCCAUCAAGCCUGAUUUGAAGUUGUUUUUACUAUGGUGUGCAGUGGCUGAAAGAGGCAUGGAUUCUGGGUCAAGAUGUUUCUGCUGGGUUCACUUCAACCAUGUAUACUGUUCUUUUCCCUCACUUCUGGCUCCCGCUGUGUGCUCUGCUUCACACUACUGCCUCUCAUCCACUCCUUAUCGCUGCAAUUUGGGAUACCAAAGAUACCACUAGAUCAUCAGAGAAAAAUUCAAUUGAAAAAGAGAUUGAAACUUAAACUGCUGAAGCGCAAACGUAAGUUUAUUAUGCAUAUAAUUUUAGUACCAUUUUUGUUAUAUGAUUUUGGUUCUUGGGUAUGGCAGAUUUUUUAGCAAAAAAUGGGGAAGAAGAGAAAGCACAGUGAGGGUAUGUUGUUGUGAUGGCAUUUGCUUUUGCUUCUAUUUGCUUGGUACUUAUACUUUUUGUAUGCCUUCUUGCAUAGUGUUUCGUAAUAAUUAUUUUCAGCCAUUUUGGUUGCCACAUAAUAGAGCAGUUGCCAGAAGAAUCCAGAACAUGCGAUGGAGAGUUGAUGGUGGUCUGUGAUAGACUAUUCUAUUUUUAUGAUCUUGAAACUAAAUUUCUUUGCCUUGCUCUAUUUUCCCAAUUUUUUUGCUAUAUCAUGCACACAUAUUGGCUGAUAUUAAUGUAGUGUUGCAGUCUUUGAUAUGUCGAAUUGGUUGCCUUGAGCAGCCAGUGUUAACAUGCAUACACAGGAAAUGAUGCUGGAAGAAAAUUUUUGCUUGAUGGAGAGGUCACUAUUGACACAAUGGCAGAUGAUAUGGAAUUCACAGUGUUCAUUGAAGCUCAUUAAAAUGUGUACAUUUUUUGUUGCAAAGCUGCCUUUUCUUAUUUUAAAAACUUAUCAUCUACAGACUGUGACGGAUAGUUGGAUAGAGAAUGCUGUCAAUGGGCUAAUGGGCAAGCAGAUUAUCAGGAAGAAUGGAAGAAUAAAGUUUCUGGUUGAUAUCUUGCUUGGGCUUAAGUUCUCCAUGAGUGGAAAUUUUGUAGGGCACUCUAUU